CAGUUUUUAGUUUUUCUCGAAAAUUGUGAAAUAUGCAUUAAGUCUUUUUUUUCGGUGCACGCUCAUGAAUAUUCAACGGACCCAAACACUUGAUGAAACUCGUAAAUUUUCCGACACUGCCUUUUAAAUAUGCAUGAAAAUUAAAUUCGCCUUUGGCUGCACACAAGCUGAUAUUUAAAUUUGUAUACAUAUAUUUUAUUGCCUUGCCGUCACUUUCAUGUGUCCGGAACAAGUUGAUUUGUAUUUUAUUUUUGUUUUUUAUCAACUUAAUUGCGGGGGCGGCAUAGGCGGCAUGGGCGGCGGCCCUGUUGAUAGGAAAUGUGUCAAAAUUUGUUGGAAGUUCUGUAAUUUGUAAAUAUCAAACUCAACGCACACGCACAUUCAUCUAAAGACUACACAGCAUCCUUUUGCUGCCUGCCAUCCGUUGACAGUUAAUUUCAAGGCAGUGAGACAAUGAUUCGAUUUUGGCAGUGUCAUUGUCCUCCUUAGCAAGGUGAUUUGUGGACACGCCCAUUCAUUGGUAAACUGCCAAGCCAACUUCCUCUUCAUUUGUCAUGACCCGAAGACAAGGUAGACAUCGAAUGGGCUAACACAGAAAGCACAAAGUGAUUGAGAAUAGGAAAAAAUGCCGGAGCCAUAAAAUAGUCGAUUGAUUGGCAUCAAUGAUGAUAUUUUAACCAAAUCACAGACGCAUUUACAGCAGAUACCUAAUUCAGAUGGGCUGACUGACAACUUUACUGGCUGAGAGACCGCAAAACUCAACGUGUCAUCGUUAAACCGGCCAACAAAGUCAUAAAGUCUCAUCUGCAAUUGACUGAAGCUGUCUGUGGCCAAUGGUCAUCUUAUAAAACUAGGAGCAUAAAUCGAUUUAUGUAUAUCAGCCUGAUAGUAGCUGAAAUGAGUUACCAUUGAAUACACUCAAACUCCUUGCAAAAAAUUAACUCAUUAUGAGACACAUUAUAAAAUCAACAAUAGUACCCAUAAACUAUUCUAAAUAUAUGCAAAGGGAAAAGCUUGCGCCUACUGACUUACAAGGGCUAGAAAUCAUAACACGUAAGUGAGCAAUAGGAAGAAGUAUUGGAAAAGUCGACCUGGAACUGGGAUAGCAGGUGGGCAAAAUAUAAAAAAAUAAGCUUGAGGACGCGACAUCAUAAAUUUGCGUGGAAAAAACAAGAAGCAGGUCGCCGGUUCAAAUUAGCUCUCUCAUUGUGGUGUUUCCAAUUAUUCAACUUAACAAGCUGCUCAAAUUGUUAUUUAAAUUCAGAUAAUUAUACAUACAGCUAAUUAAAUACAUGUAUACACGAACUUGUAUG
This is a long non-coding RNA of Drosophila virilis, 1313 nucleotides long. RefSeq lists it as uncharacterized. The record is from RefSeq and is a predicted model, not a curated record. Lineage: Eukaryota; Metazoa; Arthropoda; Insecta; Diptera; Drosophilidae.